GUGCUUGUUUUGGCUGCAUCUUUACUAAAAUCAGAAUGAUACAAAGAAGAUUAGCAUGGCCCCUGCACAAAGAGGAUAUGUAAAUUUGAUUUUAUGAUUUUGU
Callithrix jacchus (white-tufted-ear marmoset) is the source of this 103-nucleotide small nuclear RNA. The record is from Ensembl. NCBI's taxonomy places the organism in Eukaryota, Metazoa, Chordata, Mammalia, Primates, Cebidae.